RNAcentral lists this ribosomal RNA (347 nucleotides) under uncultured bacterium. RNAcentral's name for it is "bacterial SSU rRNA". It matches the Rfam family "Bacterial small subunit ribosomal RNA", at positions 29 to 403 of the family's 1533-position model. The record is from RNAcentral.
AACGAACGCUGGCGGCAGGCCUAACACAUGCAAGUCGAACGCUCCGCAAGGGGAGUGGCGCACGGGUGAGUAACACGUGGGAACCUACCUUCUGGUACGGAACAACCAAGGGAAACUCUGGCUGAUACCGUAUACGACCUCCGGGUGAAAGAUUGAUCGCCGGAAAGAGGGGCCCGCGUCCGAUUAGGUAGUUGGUGAGGUAACGGCUCACCAAGCCUGCGAUCGGUAGCUGGUCUGAGAGGAUGACCAGCCACACUGGGACUGAGACACGGCCCAGACUCCUACGGGAGGCAGCAGUGGGGAAUAUUGGACAAUGGGCGCAAAGCCUGAUCCAGCCAUGCCGCGUG